CCCGCCCGCCCAGGACUGGCCCCAGCGCCCCGCGGGGGGACCCCGGCCAUCCCCUUCCCCACCGUCAUUCCAGAGGGGAUUCCCGGCCGCCGCUGGGGCCGCGGAUUUUCCCGCUGGCUACGUAGGGAGCAGGGAGGAGUCCUGCCAUGAACUUCCUUCUGGCCUGGGACGCCCGAGAUCUGAGGGGAGGGCUGAGGGCCUGGUCUCCUGGAUCUGAUCGAGGACAGGCUGGGGGUCUCCCGGGUCUGAGGGAGGAGGAGUUAGGGGCCUGAACCGCUGGAUCUGAGGGAGGAGGAGAUGGGGGCCUGGACCCCUGGGUCUGAGGGAGGAGGGGCUGGGGUCUCGGGGGACCUGAGGAUCUGAGGGAGGAGGGGCUGGAGGCCUGGACCCCUGGGUCUGAGGGAGGGGGGGUUGGGAGUCUCCCGGGUCUGAAGGAGGAGGAGUUAGGGGCCUGGACCCCUGGAUCUGAGGGAGGAGGAGCUGGGGGCCUGGACCCCUGGUUCCGAGGGAGGAGGGGCUGGGGGCCUGGACCCCUGGAUCCGAGGGAGGGGGGUGCUGGGGGCCUGGAGUCCUGGGUCUGAGGGAGGAGGGGCUGGGGACCCAGGGCCCUGGGUUACUGCGAGGGAGGAGGGACUGAGGCCUUGGCUCCUGGGUCCCCCAGGUCUGUGGGUUUGGGGAGGUGGAGGACCAGUCCUUCUGCGAGCAAAGCAUCCCCCUCCUUUGAGAGUGGCCCUAUCCCAAAAGUCCUGACUCUUGGGGCCGAUGACUCAGCAGAUGGGAGAGAGGAGGGGGACAGCCUGACUCAGGGAUGGGAAAUGCUCCCGGUCUCCAGGGAGUAGAAACUGGAAUCCCUCCUCCAGGAUUGAUCGCAGCCCGAGCUGAGCCGGGCUCCGCGAACCCAAGGAUGCCCCCAACCCCCCUUUCCCCGCCUCAAUCCUUUAAGCUGCGUAAGGAUUUGGAGAUCGGCCUAGAGGCGGGUCCCAGGUCCCCCUCCUCCCCCCUUUUUCCCCGUUGUCCUCAAGGCUCUGUUUACAGGAGACGGGAGCCCUGGUUACAGGAGAGGAACCCGAGUGUCCGGGCUGAACCUCCUCGUCACGGCUUCCAGGAAGCCCCCACUCCCCCGCCCCUUGCGAGUGAGUCACGGGCGAGCAGGAGGCCACAACCGUGCCAGAGCCGCCCGCGGCCCGCCCAGCUCACGAGACCGGCCCGGGAAGGCCCCUCAGCAAGCGCCGCACCAGGGAUUCCCCCCCGCCGCUCUCGGACGAAGCAGGUCGACGUGGAGCCUGGCAGAAUCUCCCCACCUUAAUACAAGCCCGCAGCCUGCAAGAAUGAACUUUCCACCAUUAUAACUGCGCACUGUGGCAAUGAUUUCUACCCCCACAUUUUCACUCAGGGCAUCCAGCUCUCCAGCACCCCUUAGAAAAUAGUCUUCCUAGAUCUUAAGAGGGUUUUCACUUAGGGCGACCCUUUGAUAACAAAAGAUGUGCCAGUGUGGGGAAUGAUCCUUGAAAAUGUAGUGUGAGCCACUGCGCUCAGCCCCUUUCUGUUUCUUUUUGUGAUCCUCCCAACCCUCUUCUCCCUCUGAAUCUGUCUCUGGGACUGUCUCUGUCUCCCCGUCUUCCCUCCCUUCCUCACCCUGUCUAUCUCUCUCUGUAUGUCUCUUGGUGUGUGUGUCUCUCUCGAUGUUUUUCUCUCUGCCUGUCUGCCUGUCUGUACCCCUCUGCGUCUCUCCCCGCCCCCAUCCGUCUGUGUCGCACGCGCACCCCCAUCGGGCUUCUGCUCUUGUCAAUUGCCCCUGGGGCCCUGCCCCCACCUCCGCCC
Molecule: long non-coding RNA, 1821 nt
Filed under: Homo sapiens (human)
Lineage: Eukaryota; Metazoa; Chordata; Mammalia; Primates; Hominidae
Source: RNAcentral